CUUUACUGUAGCCUGGAAUUGUGUUCGGGCUUCGCUUGCGCAGGAUAGGUGGGAGGCAUAGAAGUACCCCUUGUGGGGGGUAUGGAGCCAACGGUGAGAUACCCACUCUGGCGAGGCUAGGAUUCUAACCUUAACCCGUAAUCCGGGAAAGGAACAGUUUCAGGUGGGCAGCUUGACUGGGGCCGGUCGCCUCCUAAAGAGGUAACGGAGGCGCGCAAAGGUUCCCCUCAGGCUGGUUGGAAAUCAGCCAUAGAGUGUAAAGGCAUAAGAGAGCUUGACUGUGAGGACCUACAAGUCGAACAGGGACGAAAGUCGGUCUUAGUGAUCCGACGGCAGAGCGUGGAAUCGCCGUCGCUAAACGGAUAAAAGUUA
RNAcentral lists this ribosomal RNA (372 nucleotides) under uncultured alga. RNAcentral describes it as "bacterial LSU rRNA". It matches the Rfam family "Bacterial large subunit ribosomal RNA", at positions 2099 to 2465 of the family's 2925-position model. The record is from RNAcentral.